GAAUAAGUACAAUAACGUUGUUGCGUCAUACGAACCAUUGGGUAAUAUAGAUGGACAAUUUGAGUAAAAUGUUCCAAGACGUAAUGGGUCGCCUUUAAGCGUAAAUCUGUUUCAAAUCAACAUUGGAAUCGUCCUAUUAUGCUCAUGGCUCCUAAACAAAAUUUUGGCCUAAUUCCAUUGAGUAAAGUGCUGGAAUACUUGGGCAGACGUAUUUAA
This is a long non-coding RNA of Drosophila willistoni, 216 nucleotides long. RefSeq lists it as uncharacterized. The transcript is spliced from 3 exons. Lineage: Eukaryota; Metazoa; Arthropoda; Insecta; Diptera; Drosophilidae. The record is from RefSeq and is a predicted model, not a curated record.